Long non-coding RNA from Carassius auratus (goldfish), 1617 nucleotides. NCBI's taxonomy places the organism in Eukaryota, Metazoa, Chordata, Actinopteri, Cypriniformes, Cyprinidae. The record is from Ensembl.
AUGUACUCAUUACCAAGAAAAGGUUUAAGACUAGCACAUAUCAAUAUAAACAGUCUCAGGAAUAAAAUCAAUGAAGUUGCUGAACUGUUAAAUGAUUAUAAAAUACACAUUCUUGCUAUCUCAGAGACUCACUUGGACUCUUCCUUUGAUGACACAGAACUGUUUAUUGAAGGUUACAACAUAUACAGAAAUGACAGAAAUGGUUUUGGUGGUGGAGUAGCUUUUUAUAUUCAGAAUCAUUUGCCAGUAAAAAUAAGAGCUGAUUUAAUGAGUUUUAACAUCGAAAUAUUAUGGUUGCAAAUGCAUCUACCUCACCGAAAGUCUAUACUUCUGUGUUGCUGUUACCGGUCACCAAGUGCCAAUUGUGAAUAUCUUGAUACUAUCUGUAAAAUGUUGGAUAUAUAUACUAAUGUAAGUCAGGACAUAUAUUUCAUGGGUGACUUAAACAUUGACUGGUUUUCUAAAGAUUGCUACUUGAAAAAAAAACUGUUAUCUACUGCAAAUGCUUGUGGACUUACUCAACUUAUAACUAAGCCUACAAGAACAUGUUUUAGGAGCGACGGCUCCAGAACAUCUACCUGUAUAGAUCAUAUUUUCACAAACCGACCUGAACUGUGUAAAAAGGUAUUGUCUAUUCCCAUUGGUAGCAGUGAUCAUAAUCUGAUCAUUUCUGUGUUAACAACCAAGCUGAGUGGAUCUGGAACUGCAGUCUUAUUUAAAAGAUCUUAUAAAUUGUUUAAAAAUGACAAGUUUAUUGAAGAUGUUCAAGCUAUAUGCUGGUCUGAUGUGUUGACAGCUAGUAAUCCAGAAAUUGCUCUCUUUAAAUUUAACAGUCUAUUUUUGUCAUUGAUUGAGAAACAUGCGCCUUUAAAGAAGUUUACUGUCAGGAAUAACGUCACACCUUGGUUAGAUGAUGAAUUGAAAAAUUAUAUGAAAAUAAGAGGUCAAAUGAAAAGAACAGCAGUUACUACAGGAAAUAAAUGUGAUUGGGACCUAUAUCGUAAAAUGAGAAAUUCUGUUACUAAACUUAAUAAAAAGAAGAAGAAAAUCUAUUUUGAUAAUCAGGUUAAAAAUAUAGGAAAUGAUAGUAGGAAGUUAUGGAGUGUUUUAAAUCUAUUGACUGGUAAGAAAAAUAAAAUAAGUCCAUCUUUUUUGGAAACAGGUGAUAAAUUUAUAACUAAGCCAAUAGAUAUUGCAAAUUAUCUUAAUGAUUAUUUUAUAAGAAAAUUAGAUAAACUAAGAGAAAAUAUGCCUAAUCUAAGUAAUGAUAUAUCUCAUCUUUUAAUAAGAAAUGAACUGAUGAAAAAUAAAAACUUAAGGUUUAAAUUAGAAAGUGUAAAUAUAGAUCAAGUAAAGAAUCUUUUAAAAGCCUGUAAAAACAAACCAUCGGGUGUCGACGGUCUUGACAGCAGGCUUCUUAAACUAGCUGCUGACUUUAUUGCCCCUGUUCUAACCCACAUCAUUAACCUCAGUUUUAUCUGCUGUACCUGCCCACAUGCAUGGAAGCAGGCUAAAAUAGUUCCUCUGCCCAAAGAUAAGAAAUUGCCUUUCUCUGGUCCCAACAGUCGCCCGAUAAGUAUAUUACCUGUAUUAUCUAAAAUAAUGGAAUCUAUAUGA